ACCAAAACCUAAGCUAGGAAGGAGAGGCAGUAAGAAACAGGCGGAUCACACAGGAGCCGUGGUUUAGCGAAAUACCAAUUGCCGCCUUAGGAAUUACCCUCCCUUUUAAAUUAAGAAGAAGAGAAGAAGGAUUUUAGUUGAAUUGAACAUUUGUGCGUAAAACCCUAAUUAACUGAGCGAGGAUGGAGGAAAGUAGAGCGAAACCGGUGUGUGCAGAAGAAGCCCUCGCACUUCUUAAUUGCGUCACUCAGUCUCCCUAUGAAGAAGACAAAUUCCUUCGCCUUUUGCAUUCAUUGCGCCACUGCGUCCUCGUCAAGAAAGUGAAGAACUUUUCCCUAGCUGGACAGGAAAAAUAGGAAACUAAACCCAGUGGCAAGAAGGCUUAAUUGGUAUGACUGCAUCCCAAGUGCCUUCUAAUUCAAAUAUUCAUGUACCAGAAACUGUUCAGUUUCAAAUCUGAAUUUCUACCAUCCACAAAUAAUUGAUUUUAACAUAUUUUUUUUGGUUAAGUGUAAAGUUGAAUGGGAGGUGAAAUCAAUGGCUUGCAUCUCUCAUCAUCGGAUGUUAUGCUCGUUUUGCCCGUUCCUAACCACCUUAAUCAUAGCUGUGGCGUGGGGUUAAUGUGGCCUAAGAUUUCCCCUUUACCCUGUUCGACUUAAACACUGAAUCCCUUUGCGAGAUGCAAUGGAAUGUAUGACUUGUUACAGUGUAUUGUAUGUGUUUCUACCUAACUAUGAAUACAACUUCCAGCAUUCUAAUGGGUGGACUUCUGUCUGUUCGAGAACCUUGAUCGUUAUGGGAGAAGACAAAAAUAUUCCAUCUUUGGUUGAUGAUA
This is a long non-coding RNA of Glycine soja, 835 nucleotides long. RefSeq lists it as uncharacterized. NCBI's taxonomy places the organism in Eukaryota, Viridiplantae, Streptophyta, Magnoliopsida, Fabales, Fabaceae. The record is from RefSeq and is a predicted model, not a curated record. The transcript is spliced from 2 exons.